Molecule: ribosomal RNA, 429 nt
Filed under: Acidobacteriota bacterium
Lineage: Bacteria; Pseudomonadati; Acidobacteriota
Description: Acidobacteria bacterium partial 16S ribosomal RNA
Rfam family: Bacterial small subunit ribosomal RNA
Source: RNAcentral
UGGGGAAUUUUGGACAAUGGGGGAAACCCUGAUCCAGCCAUCCCGCGUGUGCGAUGAAGGCCUUCGGGUUGUAAAGCACUUUUGGCAGGAAAGAAACGUCAUGGGUUAAUACCCCGUGAAACUGACGGUACCUGCAGAAUAAGCACCGGCUAACUACGUGCCAGCAGCCGCGGUAAUACGUAGGGUGCAAGCGUUAAUCGGAAUUACUGGGCGUAAAGCGUGCGCAGGCGGUUCGGAAAGAAAGAUGUGAAAUCCCAGAGCUCAACGUUGGAACUGCAUUUUUAACUGCCGGGCUAGAGUGUGUCAGAGGGAGGUGGAAUUCCGCGUGUAGCAGUGAAAUGCGUAGAUAUGCGGAGGAACACCGAUGGCGAAGGCAGCCUCCUGGGAUAACACUGACGCUCAUGCACGAAAGCAUGGGGAGCAAGCAGG